UGCCCCAGUAACGGCGAGUGAAGCGGAACAGCUCAAAUUUGAAAUCUGGCCCCCCGGCCCGAGUUGUAAUUUGCAGAGGAUGCUUUUGGUGAGGCACCUACCGAGUCCCCUGGAAUGGGGCGCCACAGAGGGUGAGAGCCCCGUAUGGUAGGACGCCGAGCCUCUGUAAAGCUCCUUCGACGAGUCGAGUAGUUUGGGAAUGCUGCUCUAAAUGGGAGGUAAAUUUCUUCUAAAGCUAAAUACCGGCCAGAGACCGAUAGCGCACAAGUAGAGUGAUCGAAAGAUGAAAAGCACUUUGAAAAGAGGGUUAAAAAGUACGUGAAAUUGUUGAAAGGGAAGCGCUUGUGACCAGACUUGCGCCGGGCGGAUCAUCCAGCGUUCUCGCUGGUGCACUCCGCCCGGCUCAGGCCAGCAUCGGUUUCCGCCGGGGGACAAAGGCUUCGGGAACGUGGCUCCCUUCGGGGAGUGUUAUAGCCCGUCGCGUAAUACCCUGGCGGGGACCGACGACCGCGCUUCGGCAAGGAUGCUGGCGUAAUGGUCAUCAGCGACCCGUCUUGAAACACGGACCGAGGAGUCAAGCAUUAGUGCGAGUGUUUGGGUGUAAAACCCGCACGCGUAAUGAAAGUGAACGUAGGUGAGAGCUUCGGCGCAUCAUCGACCGAUCCUGAUGUUUUCGGAAGGAUUUGAGUAGGAGCAUUAACGCUUGGACCCGAAAGAUGGUGAACUAUACUUGAAUAGGGUGAAGCCA
RNAcentral lists this ribosomal RNA (748 nucleotides) under Proxipyricularia zingiberis. Its description in RNAcentral is "eukaryotic LSU rRNA". It matches the Rfam family "Eukaryotic large subunit ribosomal RNA", at positions 76 to 854 of the family's 3401-position model. Lineage: Eukaryota; Fungi; Ascomycota; Sordariomycetes; Magnaporthales; Pyriculariaceae. The record is from RNAcentral.